This 367-nucleotide ribosomal RNA is filed under the name Vibrio parahaemolyticus. Its description in RNAcentral is "bacterial SSU rRNA". It matches the Rfam family "Bacterial small subunit ribosomal RNA", at positions 1176 to 1533 of the family's 1533-position model. Lineage: Bacteria; Pseudomonadati; Pseudomonadota; Gammaproteobacteria; Vibrionales; Vibrionaceae. The record is from RNAcentral.
GGGACGACGUCAAGUCAUCAUGGCCCUUACGAGUAGGGCUACACACGUGCUACAAUGGCGCAUACAGAGGGCAGCCAACUUGCGAAAGUGAGCGAAUCCCAAAAAGUGCGUCGUAGUCCGGAUUGGAGUCUGCAACUCGACUCCAUGAAGUCGGAAUCGCUAGUAAUCGUGGAUCAGAAUGCCACGGUGAAUACGUUCCCGGGCCUUGUACACACCGCCCGUCACACCAUGGGAGUGGGCUGCAAAAGAAGUAGGUAGUUUAACCUUCGGGGGGACGCUUACCACUUUGUGGUUCAUGACUGGGGUGAAGUCGUAACAAGGUAGCGCUAGGGGAACCUGGCGCUGGAUCACCUCCUUAAACGAUGAU